Molecule: ribosomal RNA, 253 nt
Filed under: uncultured bacterium
Lineage: Bacteria
Description: partial 16S ribosomal RNA
Rfam family: Bacterial small subunit ribosomal RNA
Source: RNAcentral
UACGUAGGUGGCAAGCGUUAUCCGGAUUUAUUGGGCGUAAAGGGAACGCAGGCGGUCUUUUAAGUCUGAAGUGAAAGCCUUCGGCUUAACCGGAGUAGUGCAUUGGAAACUGGGAGACUUGAGUGCAGAAGAGGAGAGUGGAACUCCAUGUGUAGCGGUGAAAUGCGUAGAUAUAUGGAAGAACACCAGUGGCGAAAGCGGCUCUCUGGUCUGUAACUAACGCUGAGGUUCGAAAGCGUGGGUAGCAAACAGG